GAUGAACGCUGGCGGCGUGCCUAAUACAUGCGAGUCGAGCGAACAGACGAGGAGCUUGCUCCUCUGACGUUAGCGGCGGACGGGUGAGUAACACGUGGAUAACCUACCUAUAAGACUGGGAUAACUUCGGGAAACCGGAGCUAAUACCGGAUAAUAUAUUGAACCGCAUGGUUCAAUAGUGAAAGACGGUUUUGCUGUCACUUAUAGAUGGAUCCGCGCCGCAUUAGCUAGUUGGUAAGGUAACGGCUUACCAAGGCGACGAUGCGUAGCCGACCUGAGAGGGUGAUCGGCCACACUGGAACUGAGACACGGUCCAGACUCCUACGGGAGGCAGCAGUAGGGAAUCUUCCGCAAUGGGCGAAAGCCUGACGGAGCAACGCCGCGUGAGUGAUGAAGGUCUUCGGAUCGUAAAACUCUGUUAUUAGGGAAGAACAAAUGUGUAAGUAACUAUGCACGUCUUGACGGCACCUAAUCAGAAAGCCACGGCUAACUACGUG
Molecule: ribosomal RNA, 497 nt
Filed under: uncultured bacterium
Lineage: Bacteria
Description: partial 16S ribosomal RNA
Rfam family: Bacterial small subunit ribosomal RNA
Source: RNAcentral